Long non-coding RNA from Vidua macroura (Pin-tailed whydah), 393 nucleotides. RefSeq lists it as uncharacterized. The record is from RefSeq and is a predicted model, not a curated record. The transcript has 3 exons. Lineage: Eukaryota; Metazoa; Chordata; Aves; Passeriformes; Viduidae.
UCACGGCCGCGGAUGUGGGAAGCGCCGUGGGAGCGAUGGAGAGAGAGCCAGGGCGGCUGCUAGGGCCUCUUUCCGGUGGUGACACCACAGUGCACUUUGCUGGGUCCCAGUCACAAAGCGGAACCUAGCAUUAAAACAGGAAUAAGAGCUAAGAGGUUGUAGGCUGUAACAUUGUAAGAGUUAACUGGAACAUGAACAGCACAAAACAAGCAAGAAAACCCAAAAUUAUACCAGAAUGGAAAAGAAACCCUUCAGGCAGCAGCUGAAGAGUUUUCUAAACUCAAUUACUGCAAGAAUGCUGUGGCCAAUGGAAAAAUGUUUGAUGCAUGCCAGAAAACAAAUCUUCCCAGCUCUUGGAAGUAUGUUCUGAAAACAAAUAUGGAUCACACAAGA